UAAAAAUUUAAUUUAUAAUAUUUAAGUAGUAUUAGUUAAGAUCUUGAAAUUUAAAAAAUUUGGCGGUAUUUUAGUCUAUUCAGAGGAACCUGUUUUGUAAUCGAUAAUCCACGAUGGAUCUUACUUAAAUUUGUUUUUAUAGUUUAUAUAUCGUCGUUUAAUUGAAUAUUUUAUUAGAAUAUUAAUAUUCUUAAUUUUUUAUUUUAAAAUAUAUCAGAUCAAGAUGUAGCUUAUAUUUAAGUUUAUAGUGGGUUACAAUUAAAUUAUUAUUGGAAAUAAAUUUGUAAUAGUUUAUUGAAAUUGGAUUUGAUAGUAAAUUUAUAUAGAUUAUUAAAUUGAUUAUAGCUCUAAAAUAUG
RNAcentral lists this ribosomal RNA (357 nucleotides) under Eudorylas fusculus. RNAcentral describes it as "partial 12S ribosomal RNA". The record is from RNAcentral. Lineage: Eukaryota; Metazoa; Arthropoda; Insecta; Diptera; Pipunculidae.